Molecule: ribosomal RNA, 301 nt
Filed under: uncultured bacterium
Lineage: Bacteria
Description: partial 16S ribosomal RNA
Rfam family: Bacterial small subunit ribosomal RNA
Source: RNAcentral
CAGUAGCCGCGGUAAUACGGAGGGGGCUAGCGUUGUUUGGAAUUACUGGGCGUAAAGCGCACGUAGGCGGCUAUGUAAGUUAGAGGUGAAAGCCUGGAGCUCAACUCCAGAAUUGCCUUUAAGACUGCCGAGCUAGCAGGUGAGAGAGGUAAGUGGAAUUCCGAGUGUAGAGGUGAAAUUCGUAGAUAUUCGGAAGAACACCAGUGGCGAAGGCGGCUUACUGGCUCAUACUGGACGCUGAGGUGCGAAAGCGUGGGGAGCAAACAGGAUUAGAUACCCCGGUAGUCCCUGUCUCUUAUAC